Molecule: ribosomal RNA, 206 nt
Filed under: uncultured bacterium
Lineage: Bacteria
Description: partial 16S ribosomal RNA
Rfam family: Bacterial small subunit ribosomal RNA
Source: RNAcentral
GCCUCCCUCCGCGCCAUCAGACUCCUACGGGAGGCAGCAGUGGGGAAUCUUGCACAAUGGACGAAAGUCUGAUGCAGCAACGCCGCGUGGGGGACGAAGCUUUUCGGAGUGUAAACCCCUUUCGACCCGGAAGAAUGCCCGCAAGGGUUUGACGGUACGGGUAUAAGAAGCCCCGGCUAACUACGUGCCAGCCGCCGCGGUAAUAC